This 438-nucleotide ribosomal RNA is filed under the name uncultured bacterium. RNAcentral's name for it is "partial 16S ribosomal RNA". It matches the Rfam family "Bacterial small subunit ribosomal RNA", at positions 339 to 795 of the family's 1533-position model. The record is from RNAcentral.
CUACGGGAGGCUGCAGUGAGGAAUAUUGCACAAUGGGGGGAACCCUGAUGCAGCAACGCCGCGUGGAGGAUGACGCAUUUCGGUGUGUAAACUCCUUUUAUAUGUCAAGAAAAUGACGGUAGCAUAUGAAUAAGCACCGGCUAACUCCGUGCCAGCAGCCGCGGUAAUACGGAGGGUACAAGCGUUACUCGGAAUCACUGGGCGUAAAGGACGCGUAGGCGGGUUGGAAAGUCAGGUGUGAAAUCCUACAGCUUAACUGUAGAACUGCACUUGAAACUUCUAAUCUAGAGUAUGGGAGGGAAGAUGGAAUUAGUGGUGUAGGGGUAAAAUCCGUAGAUAUCACUAGGAAUACCUAAAGCGAAGGCGAUCUCCUGGAACAUUACUGACGCUAAGGCGUGAAAGCGUGGGGAGCAAACAGGAUUAGAUACCCGGGUAGUC